Molecule: long non-coding RNA, 649 nt
Organism: Populus euphratica (Euphrates poplar)
Lineage: Eukaryota; Viridiplantae; Streptophyta; Magnoliopsida; Malpighiales; Salicaceae
Exons: 2
Source: RefSeq, a predicted model, not a curated record
UGUUGUUUCCCUGAAUUUAUCAACAAGAAAUAAACCACCAUUCUCUCUCUCUCUCCCAUCUUUCUUUCUCCUUGAAUUGUUAUUUUUCUUUAUCAUCAUUCUCGAAUACCACUGCAAAGGCAAUGAGUAAGGUUUUUAUAUCAAAUCCAUUUCUGAGAAUUAAUGAUUGCAAAGAGAUAAAUACAAGAUAGGGAGUAUGGGAUCGCCAUUGCGUUGCCAGAUGAAGAGAAAAAAACGAGAGAGAUUAACAGCUUGAGAAAGUGAAGAUAGUGCUUCUUUGCAAAAAGAUUGGAAUAGUAUUUCCUUAAUUCUUUAAAUUUGAAAGCCUACAGAAGCAGUGAACAAAGCAAUGAAGAUUUGGCAGUUAGGCCACUUUAGAGUCCAUUUCUAACUACAGUUUCUGUAGCAAAACUUGAAGUGAUGAUGAUGUGUUAUUGCUCAUGCUUUAUUCAGACUAUAAAAGAACAAAAAAUGAAGAAAGAAAGGGGAGGGGUGGGGAGAAUAACUGGGCCCCAAUGUUUGAUAAUUGUCAUAUUAUCUCUAUUAGAGGUGAUUAAGAAAAGCCCAUAAUUACAAUACAUAAUGUCCAAAAAAUUUGGGCACAAUGCUAGUCCGCCUAAAGAGUGAGUGGGUUAGCAAAUCCCUAUAU